UACGUAGGGUGCAGGCGUUAAUCGGAAUUACUGGGCGUAAAGCGUGCGCAGGCGGUUUCUUAAGUCAGAUGUGAAAGCCCCGGGCUUAACCUGGGAACUGCGUUUGAAACUGGGAGACUUGAGUGUGGCAGAGGGGGGUGGAAUUCCACGUGUAGCAGUGAAAUGCGUAGAGAUGUGGAGGAACACCGAUGGCGAAGGCAGCCCCCUGGGUCAAAACUGACGCUCAUGCACGAAAGCGUGGGGAGCAAACAGG
Molecule: ribosomal RNA, 253 nt
Filed under: uncultured bacterium
Lineage: Bacteria
Description: partial 16S ribosomal RNA
Rfam family: Bacterial small subunit ribosomal RNA
Source: RNAcentral